RNAcentral lists this ribosomal RNA (460 nucleotides) under uncultured bacterium. RNAcentral describes it as "partial 16S ribosomal RNA". It matches the Rfam family "Bacterial small subunit ribosomal RNA", at positions 338 to 795 of the family's 1533-position model. The record is from RNAcentral.
CCUACGGGGAGCAGCAGUGAGGAAUAUUGGUCAAUGGACGAGAGUCUGAACCAGCCAAGUAGCGUGAAGGAUGACUGCCCUAUGGGUUGUAAACUUCUUUUAUAUGGGAAUAAAACGUUCCACGUGUGGGAUUUUGUAUGUACCAUAUGAAUAAGGAUCGGCUAACUCCGUGCCAGCAGCCGCGGUAAUACGGAGGAUCCGAGCGUUAUCCGGAUUUAUUGGGUUUAAAGGGAGCGUAGGUGGAUUGUUAAGUCAGUUGUGAAAGUUUGCGGCUCAACCGUAAAAUUGCAGUUGAAACUGGCAGUCUUGAGUACAGUAGAGGUGGGCGGAAGUCGUGGUGUAGCGGUGAAAUGCUUAGAUAUCACGAAGAACUCCGAUUGCGAAGGCAGUUCACUGGACUGCAACUGACACUGAGGCUCGAAAGUGUGGGUAUCAAACAGGAUUAGAUACCCUUGUAGUC